ACUCCUACGGGAGGCAGCAGUGGGGAAUAUUGGACAAUGGGCGAAAGCCUGAUCCAGCCAUGCCGCGUGUGUGAAGAAGGUCUUCGGAUUGUAAAGCACUUUAAGUUGGGAGGAAGGGCAGUAAGUUAAUACCUUGCUGUUUUGACGUUACCGACAGAAUAAGCACCGGCUAACUCUGUGCCAGCAGCCGCGGUAAUACAGAGGGUGCAAGCGUUAAUCGGAAUUACUGGGCGUAAAGCGCGCGUAGGUGGUUUGUUAAGUGGGGAUGUGAAAGCCCCGGGGCUCAACCUGGGAACUGCAUCCAAAACUGGCAAGCUAGAGUACGGUAGAGGGUGGUGGAAUUUCCUGUGUAGCGGUGAAAUGCGUAGAUAUAGGAAGGAACACCAGUGGCGAAGGCGACCACCUGGACUGAUACUGACACUGAGGUGCGAAAGCGUGGGGAGCAAACAGGAUUAGAUA
Molecule: ribosomal RNA, 459 nt
Filed under: uncultured bacterium
Lineage: Bacteria
Description: bacterial SSU rRNA
Rfam family: Bacterial small subunit ribosomal RNA
Source: RNAcentral